This 486-nucleotide ribosomal RNA is filed under the name uncultured Glomus. Its description in RNAcentral is "SSU rRNA". It matches the Rfam family "Eukaryotic small subunit ribosomal RNA", at positions 569 to 1060 of the family's 1831-position model. Lineage: Eukaryota; Fungi; Glomeromycota; Glomeromycetes; Glomerales; Glomeraceae. The record is from RNAcentral.
AGCAGCCGCGGUAAUUCCAGCUCCAAUAGCGUAUAUUAAAGUUGUUGCAGUUAAAAAGCUCGUAGUUGAAUUUCGAGACCGGUUUACUGGUCGUGCUUUUGUACGUACUGGUAUUAUUGGUUUCUCCUUUCUGACGAAUCAUAAUGCCAUUAAUUUGGUGUUUUGGGGAAUCAGGACUGUUACUUUGAAAAAAUUAGAGUGUUUAAAGCAGGCUCACGCUUGAAUACAUUAGCAUGGAAUAACGAAAUAGGACGUUUGAUUUUAUUUUGUUGGUUUCUAGGAUCGACGUAAUGAUUAAUAGGGAUAGUUGGGGGCAUUAGUAUUCAAUUGUCAGAGGUGAAAUUCUUGGAUUUAUUGAAGACUAACUACUGCGAAAGCAUUUGCCAAGGAUGUUUUCAUUAAUCAAGAACGAAAGUUAGGGGAUCGAAGACGAUCAGAUACCGUCGUAGUCUUAACCAUAAACUAUGCCGACUAGGGAUCGGAUGA